This 123-nucleotide ribosomal RNA is filed under the name Sinocyclocheilus rhinocerous. Lineage: Eukaryota; Metazoa; Chordata; Actinopteri; Cypriniformes; Cyprinidae. The record is from RNAcentral.
GCCACAGCCAUAUCACCCUGCAGCCCAAGGUUGCCCACUGGUUGCCCACUGAAGCUAAGCAGGGUUGAGCCUGGUCAGUACCUGGAUGGGAGACCUCCUGGGAAAACUAGGUUGCUGCUGGAA